RNAcentral lists this ribosomal RNA (564 nucleotides) under uncultured Glomeromycotina. Its description in RNAcentral is "SSU rRNA". It matches the Rfam family "Eukaryotic small subunit ribosomal RNA", at positions 548 to 1114 of the family's 1831-position model. Lineage: Eukaryota; Fungi; Glomeromycota. The record is from RNAcentral.
UUGGAGGGCAAGUCUGGUGCCAGCAGCCGCGGUAAUUCCAGCUCCAAUAGCGUAUAUUAAAGUUGUUGCAGUUAAAAAGCUCGUAGUUGAAUUUCGGGAUCAAAUUGUCGGUCGUGCCUCGGUACGCACUGGUAUUAUUGGUUCCCACCUUCUGAAGAACCGCGAUGUCAUUAAUUUGGUGUCGUGGGGAAUCAGGACUGUUACUUUGAAAAAAUUAGAGUGUUUAAAGCAGGCUUACGCUUGAAUACAUUAGCAUGGAAUAAUGAAAUAGGACGUUUGAUUCUAUUUUGUUGGUUUCUAGGAUUGACGUAAUGAUUAAUAGGGAUAGUUGGGGGCAUUAGUAUUCAAUUGUCAGAGGUGAAAUUCUUGGAUUAAUUGAAGACUAACUACUGCGAAAGCAUUUGCCAAGGAUGUUUUCAUUAAUCAAGAACGAAAGUUAGGGGAUCGAAGACGAUCAGAUACCGUCGUAGUCUUAACCAUAAACUAUGCCGACUAGGGAUCGGAUGAUGUUAAUUUUUUAAUGACUCAUUCGGCGCCUUACGGGAAACCAAAGUGUUUGGGUUC